UAAUAAGUGUUUUAUGGCACUUUUUAAAUCCUAUAUCCACCUUGUGUGCAAUGUCAGUCGAUCUUCUUCAUGGAGAUCGACCCCAAACUAUCAACCUUUAUCUUGUAUAACUCUUUGUCUGAAAAAUAUUAUGAAUAAACAAUUCAAAAUAC
This 152-nucleotide unclassified non-coding RNA is filed under the name soil metagenome. RNAcentral's name for it is "partial internal transcribed spacer 1". The record is from RNAcentral.